AAGAGACAGCAGUCGCCGCGGUAAUACGUAGGUGGCAAGCGUUGUCCGGAAUUAUUGGGCGUAAAGGACUCGCAGGCGGUUUCUUAAGUCUGAUGUGAAAGCCCCCGGCUCAACCGGGGAGGGUCAUUGGAAACUGGGAAACUUGAGUGCAGAAGAGGAGAGUGGAAUUCCACGUGUAGCGGUGAAAUGCGUAGAGAUGUGGAGGAACACCAGUGGCGGAGGCGACUCUCUGGUCUGUAACUGACGCUGAGGAGCGAAAGCGUGGGGAGCAAACAGGAUUAGAUACCCGCGUAGUCCCUGUCUCUUAUAC
This 310-nucleotide ribosomal RNA is filed under the name uncultured bacterium. RNAcentral describes it as "partial 16S ribosomal RNA". It matches the Rfam family "Bacterial small subunit ribosomal RNA", at positions 503 to 807 of the family's 1533-position model. The record is from RNAcentral.